Molecule: long non-coding RNA, 592 nt
Filed under: Ananas comosus (pineapple)
Lineage: Eukaryota; Viridiplantae; Streptophyta; Magnoliopsida; Poales; Bromeliaceae
Description: long non-coding RNA (ACOM_LNC025887)
Source: RNAcentral
CGUCUAUUUCACGCCAAACGUGAUUCGGAUUUAUCCCGACACUCUCACGACAUGUCGACAAGCCUCAAAUGCUGUACUCCAGGGAUACCACAGAACCCGACUCCAAACCCAAAAUCCGAACACAAAUCCGAAUCCGGUGGAUUUUAAAAAUCCAAAUCCAAACCCGAAUCCGACCAAAAAUUCAAAAAAUCUGAAUCCGAACCCGAAACAAUUAUUUUUUCCAGUAUUUCAAAAUAUAUUACAUUAAACCUAAAUUUUUUAAAAAUACAUCAAAUUUUUAUAUACAUGUUAUAUAUAAUGUAAAAUAAAUUCGGGUUCUAGUCGGGUUCGAGUUCGGAUCAUGUAUAGUUAAAAUUCAUAUCCGAAUCUAUAUCCAUCAGGUUUUUAUUUCUAAUAUUCAUAUCUGAAACCAUAUUUGUUUAACAUCGAGCUCCGUUCGGAUUCGAAUUCAAAUAAAAUUUGGGACAUCGGUGUCCAUUGACAUCCCUGCUCUCUAUUACCCUACUCUCCUUUGUCCUUACUCUUGAUCCAACCUAUAGCCUUGCAAAGUCAUCUUCCUCCACUAUUCACUUUUCAUAACUAUUAUUAUAUU